Molecule: long non-coding RNA, 2016 nt
Organism: Vigna radiata var. radiata (mung bean)
Lineage: Eukaryota; Viridiplantae; Streptophyta; Magnoliopsida; Fabales; Fabaceae
Exons: 3
Source: RefSeq, a predicted model, not a curated record
UUUGGCUAAGAUCAAGUGUAGUAUCUGUUCUUAUCAGUUUAAUAUCUGAUAUGUGAACUAUUAGUUCACACGAUAUUAAAUUAAUAUUUUGAGGGAGAGAACCAUCAAAGUAGCUUGCUACUUGUUUCUCAUGCAUCGCCUUUGAUUUGCACUUCUUCAAAGUGCUGGUGCAUCCCACUCAAGUCAGUUGCAAUGUUAUUUUCCCCGAUGUCUUAGUUACCUGUUUUUCAUUAGUUUUUUCUUUAGUAAAGAGAGUUACCUGAAUAUGAGCAGCUUUUUCUCAAGGCCUUAUAAUCUGUAGUUUUCUGAAUUCUCAACACUUAGCUUUUAUAUAUAUAUAUAUAUAUAUAUAUAUAUAAUUUAACUGUAAUUGCCUUUGAAGAUUAAAAAAAUAUGUAUUUUUAUUUUAAGUCCCAGCUUACAAAGGGAUCAGUGAUGAUGACAGAUAUCUGCAUAUCUCUUUUUUCCGUUGACUAGGCGUAACAUAUACUCUCUGCACUGAUAAACAGCGUAAGCUUAGGAUGUAAAUUAGGGAGAGGACCAUCAAAGCAACAUGCUAUGUGGUUUCUUGUUUUUUACUCUUGCAAGGGCAUAUGAUGCAUCUUACCUAACCGUUCAAUUAUUUAGUCUUAUUUCUGAUGAUUUUUAUUUUAAUGUUCUAAUUGGUUUGUUGCUUAUAAUUUUUGUAGAAUACAAUUUCUAAAGCCUGAGGUUUGCUAAAUAUGAUUGAAGUAUAUUUCAUUUGUUUUUUGGUGGUGUUUGUCUUCUCUGUGGAUAAAGAAUUUUCAAGCACAUAAAAACGCUAGUGGAAGGAAAUUGUUUUUGAAAGAAAUAGAGAAAGCAUCCCAGUUUGCAGUACAUGACUUCUCUUCCAUCUGCUUUAAGUCUUAGUGGAUGAGUUAGAAAGAAGAAAUUUAGCUUCUACUUCAAUUAUCGUAGCAUAGUUUGGAUAGAUGAAAGCUGGGAUCCUCUUCUUAAUGGAUUAGUUGUUUCUUUGGGACUGUCAUAAGCCAAGACUUGCAAGGCCCAGGUUGUAAGUAAGAUUAGUCCUGGUCUUGGUUUUUCUCCUACAAGGGAUCAAUGAUGAGCUUGAUAAAGUUACUCUCGUAUUUAUUUGGGUUCCUAUUACAAAUCAGGUUCCCAUUCUUGAAGCUGUACAUAGUCUGCAACUUUUUUCCAUUGACAAGGUUUAACAUAUCUGAAUUUUUUCCAUUAACACUUAGCAUACGUAUCAUAUAAGAAAUACUUAGUUAAACCUUAAUCAGGCAUGAACCACUCCUACUGGAGAAGGAUCAACAUGGUCGGCAAUAUCAAGUAAAAUAUAUUUGGAAUGACUGUAAUUAGCUUCAAGUUUCAUCAGACAUGACAUGAACUCAACUGCUUUUCUAAAUUUUAAAGUCUGUUCAUCACAGGAAAUCAUGUUGGGAGCAUUACUCAAGUUAUGAAGUCACAGAUUUGUCAGAACACUGACAGGUAGAUGAAGUUUGGGUUUUGCUGGUGACUGUCUGCUGAUCCACAAAAAGGCUUUUUUUAUGGGAUUCCCUAUUACAGUGAGUGAUUUGGUGAAUCGGAAGAAGGAUUUUACUAGUCUUGGGCAAACAUAGUUUGUUUCAGGUGGUAGGAGUGAAGAAACCAUCCUCCAAUUUGCUUAAUGUUCAAGUCAAUAGUAAUGCAGAAAACAGCUAAUACUGGUUGCGGCAUUGCACUACCGAUAGCAAAGGGUUUUUGUUUUGGCAUGUUGGUGAAUAUGGGAGGCCUAGAAUGAGGAAAUAUUUGAAGGCUCUAUUAUUCUAGAUUUCUUUCCUAGUUGUGCGUAAUUUUUGUUGUAAGUGUUAUUAGGUUGAAGAUCUCAUAAUUUUUUUUGUAAGUGUUUCAACCGGAUCUGCUGUUAUAUUAAAUUAAUUCUGAGUGAAAGGGAUGUUAGAGUAGCUUGUUACUUAUCUCUAAAGCAUAGCUUUGUUUAGCAAUUUUGCAAGGGCUUGGCGCAUCCCAUUCAGAUCAGUUCAAUUACUUAUU